UAUGGCUUGGCCUUUGUCUCCAGCUAGUUAGUUCCCUGUUCUUCUUCUUUGUCCUCCCCUGUGAUUGGCUUUAUUUCAGGGGAUGUCUCGAGACAAGUGACUGUCACCCUAUUCUAAUGAUGAGUGAAUUCUUAUCUUCAGGUGUGGAGCUCAUCUUACUUAUCCAUCCCUUCAACAUCAAACAUCCUCCAAAUGAACACACACACACACACACACACACACACACACUCACUCACUCACUCACUGAAUGGCAGAGGUGAACCUGGAAUCUACUCUCAGUAGUGUCAGAUUAAGGAUUUUCCCAAAGUGUUUGUCCUCCUAUGUCUGUUCCCCAAAUGCAAAAAUCAAAAUGAAAGAGGAAGAAGGGGUAAAUGAAACAAACCUAAUCAGAACACACUGACAGAUCUUUUUCUUUCCUUUUUGCCUCUUCCUCCCACUCAGCACCCUCUGCUUUAGCUCAUUCCUCUGUCACUACUCUUGCUGAUUGAUCAGCCCAAGUGAAAGUGUGAAUCACCUAUGAAACAUAACAGAGUCAAGUCACAAAUAAAAAUAACUAGCCACAUUGGUGGUCCAGUAAAAAUAUGGCUUCAAUACCAUGGCUCCCAUACCACCUCUCCUCAAUCUUUGAGAGGCCACUACAGCUGCAGAUUGGGGCCUGCUGUGUCUUGGCUGCCAGCCUGGUACUGUAUAGUUGCCUUUUCGACCUUCCACCUUCCCCAGCUUUGCUGUUUCUUGGAGCAGGGUCACUGUGACAUCACCCCAUGGCUCUCUGUGAAGUCAUUUAUGACUGAGAGCAGUGAUUGUUCCACUGAAAGCCCAGUUGAAGCUAAUUCCUCUGCAAUGUCCAGUCCUUUCUAUCCUGGGCUGGUGCAGGACUGGAAGAGCAUGGCUGGAAUGGAGGGAUCAGCAACUGCUGUAGUGGCUGAGAAACUCUUGAAAGCAAUCCCUCUUCUGCUAAGGCCACAAUGACUCCAAGAUGGUGGAUUGGGCCAUGAGGUAGAGAUCAAAGGAUCACUGAAGGAGGUACUAAAAGCAAUGAAUGGAUACCAUUGGAGAUUGAGAGAUGCCAGCUUCCUGUUCAACCAACAACGAAGAGCCACGGAACCCCACUGACAGCAUGGGGACCAACGAAGUUUCACUCACACAACAUCUCUGGGAGAGCCAACGGGAGCUUAUGCAAAUAAAAAGAUGUGCUAAAACCCCAUCCAUGUAAGUGGAUCACCCUCAGUACCUGAACUUUUCAGUGCCUGGACAGGCAGCCAUGUGCUGAGACCUCCUGGGCAAGGAGUGGGAUGAAAGAUACCUGACUUGGAGUGAGUUGCCGUCUCUGUGUUCUAUAUGCUACAUCUCAAUGAAAGUGGUAGCAUCAUCUGUUAUUUAUGUAAUUUUUGUCUGUCUCCCCUCUAGACUAUAAGCUCAUUGUGGGCAGGGAAUGUAUCUACCAAUUCUGCUAUAUUGUACUCUCCCAAGUGCUUACUACAGUG
This 1484-nucleotide long non-coding RNA is filed under the name Ornithorhynchus anatinus (platypus). RNAcentral describes it as "lncRNA (ENSOANG00000048119.1)". Lineage: Eukaryota; Metazoa; Chordata; Mammalia; Monotremata; Ornithorhynchidae. The record is from RNAcentral.